CUAGUAUUUUUAUAUCUUUCCGCCUAAAUUUCCUUUACCCUCCCAAAAUCCAAAUUACUUCUCAUUUCCAAUCCCCAGUUAAUAAAAAACACAAAUACACAGAGCUUUAUCCUUCAGUUGAAAACCCUAGCGCCUACCACUACCAUCUUCACAACAGCUCGAAUCAUCUUCAGGUUUCACUACCAUGUGGAAACCAUACCAAGGAGAUGCUAAACCCUUUUCCAACUCGGUCACCGUCAGCUACCUUUUCGGAAUUAAGCCCGGGAUGAAAGGCUCAUUGAUGGUCAUCGGAGGCUUGAUCGGAUUUAUUUGUACCGGAACUCCAGUUGACGUUUGAUGGGUUUCUUCCCCAACUAUGGGUUUUGUUUCGUGGGAAAACGACUCGAAAUUUUGACAACAUCAACGACUAUGAAAAUUUCACCGACAGCUAUUGACUUAGAAGUAAACUCGGUCUUCCUUCCUUCUUUCAUCACCAUAUUUAACGUUAACACCCUCUCUACUAUGCACAAUCAACCCUUCAAGACGCAUUUUCAGCUGUUUACAGGAGGAUUUUUAUAGAAACCACAAGAAGAUUAACUGAUUUAAGGGAAAGACACCGGAGCAAUAAUGGCAGUGGCAUCAGCGUCUAUGUUAGUAGCAUUGAAGACUUUCUUCAUUGUAUCGGCAUGGGUAAUGGCAUAUGUGCUUGUUUACUCAUUUGCUGCGGAUGGCCAAGUCUCUUGUUUCCAGCCAAGCAAAUGGUGGAUGCAAGUGGCAGAGUAUGAUUAUAUUGUGAUUAUACUUCCUAUAAUGGUAAGCAAGUUUAUUUAAAAUUUUCAAGGCUAAGUUAUUGUUUGUUUGAUAUUUAAGUAUUCCCUAAAGAUAAUAGCCCCUAUUUAUACUAACAAAACUACCUUUUAAAGCUACAUGUCGGAUCGUGUCGUUGUUUUACACAAGUACCGAAAUAACAUGCUAAUCCGAUGUCACUUUAUUUGCGUUGUUUUUAUACUAUAACUCGUUAGAGCAGCGUUAUAUUUUGUUUGGAAUGCACAUGUUUCUGUUUUAGUUUUCUAGCUAAUUCAUAUUGAAUGGUUAUAUACUGGUAAUCUUUAGGCGUUUUUCUACAAGGAAUCAAGCUGGAUCAAGAGAAUUGUUUUUUUAAUUAUAUAAUUUUUUUGUGACAGCUUUGUUAACUGUGGAUACAUUGCUAUGCUGUUCCACUAAUUGUCACCUGAAGAGUCUAUGAAAGAUCCAUUAUACGUUGUGCUAGCGAGAUGUCAAAACCGGGUUGUGUUGAUCGACCUGUUCGGGUUGAUAUGUGAUGAUUACGGUUUUAUAAUUUUCAGCUUCAAAAAGUUCAGGCGGAACUAGAAAGAGAGUGUGAGGCUCGACAAAACAUAGAAGCCCGUUUCGAACUAUUUCAACAAGAGCGUGAAAAAGAGCGAGCCGACCAAGACGCAUGGCGAAAAAAUAUGGAAGAAAUGGUGAAAAACAUCGGAAAGAAGUAAACAAAGCUCUCGUUUUGUUAAGUAUUGGAAUGUUGGAUUAGUUUUGAAUCAAAAAACUUGCUCUUAAUUAGGAUUU
RNA transcript from Helianthus annuus (common sunflower), 1563 nucleotides. RefSeq lists it as uncharacterized. NCBI's taxonomy places the organism in Eukaryota, Viridiplantae, Streptophyta, Magnoliopsida, Asterales, Asteraceae. The transcript is spliced from 8 exons. The record is from RefSeq and is a predicted model, not a curated record.